RNAcentral lists this transfer RNA (77 nucleotides) under Burkholderiales bacterium. RNAcentral describes it as "tRNA-Pro". It matches the Rfam family "tRNA". From Rfam's summary of the family: Transfer RNA (tRNA) molecules are approximately 80 nucleotides in length. Their secondary structure includes four short double-helical elements and three loops (D, anti-codon, and T loops). The record is from RNAcentral. RNAcentral also lists the same sequence under 3 other names. Lineage: Bacteria; Pseudomonadati; Pseudomonadota; Betaproteobacteria; Burkholderiales.
CGGUGUGUGGCGCAGCCUGGUAGCGCACUUGCAUGGGGUGCAAGGGGUCGUAGGUUCGAAUCCUAUCACACCGACCA